AUAGAUGCGAGGCUGAGGGCCCGCUGACCGCUGUCGGCGCCAGGGAUUGAAUGCGGACACCUUGCCCUCCUCCACAAUUGUGAGGGAUAGUUCGGCGAAUGGAGUUCAAUUUGGAGGACAACCAAUCCCAGCUUGAAGAUAAGCCCACCAUGAUAGGGCGGCUUGGCUUGGCUGGAGCUGAGAGACACCCAGACACGCCAUUGUGCAGAGUUGGGUGA
Molecule: long non-coding RNA, 218 nt
Filed under: Delphinapterus leucas (beluga whale)
Lineage: Eukaryota; Metazoa; Chordata; Mammalia; Artiodactyla; Monodontidae
Description: lncRNA (ENSDLEG00000001233.1)
Source: RNAcentral